This 427-nucleotide ribosomal RNA is filed under the name uncultured Hydrogenophaga sp. Its description in RNAcentral is "bacterial SSU rRNA". It matches the Rfam family "Bacterial small subunit ribosomal RNA", at positions 355 to 774 of the family's 1533-position model. The record is from RNAcentral. Lineage: Bacteria; Pseudomonadati; Pseudomonadota; Betaproteobacteria; Burkholderiales; Comamonadaceae.
UGGGGAAUUUUGGACAAUGGGGGCAACCCUGAUCCAGCAAUGCCGCGUGCAGGAAGAAGGCCUUCGGGUUGUAAACUGCUUUUGUACGGAACGAAAAGGCUCUGGUUAAUACCUGGGGCUCAUGACGGUACCGUAAGAAUAAGCACCGGCUAACUACGUGCCAGCAGCCGCGGUAAUACGUAGGGUGCGAGCGUUAAUCGGAAUUACUGGGCGUAAAGCGUGCGCAGGCGGUGCUGUAAGACAGGCGUGAAAUCCCCGGGCUUAACCUGGGAAUGGCGCUUGUGACUGCAGUGCUGGAGUGUGGCAGAGGGGGAUGGAAUUCCGCGUGUAGCAGUGAAAUGCGUAGAUAUGCGGAGGAACACCGAUGGCGAAGGCAAUCCCCUGGGCCUGCACUGACGCUCAUGCACGAAAGCGUGGGGAGCAAACA